AGAGUUUGAUUAUGGCUCAGGAUGAACGCUGGCGGCGUGCCUAAUACAUGCAAGUGAAACGGGUAUCUUCGGAUACCAGUCGCGGACGGGUGAGUAAUACAUAGGCAACCUGCCUUUAUGAGGGGGAUAACCGAGGGAAACUUUGGCUAAUACCGCAUGAAGACUCUAAGGCAUCUUAGAGGGAUAAAAGUUGGGAAACAACGCAUGAAGAUGGGCUUAUGGCGCAUUAGCUAGUUGGUGAGAUAGAAGCCCACCAAGGUAAUGAUGCGUAGCCGACCUGAGAGGGUGAACGGCCACAUUGGGACUGAGACACGGCCCAAACUCCUACGGGAGGCAGCAGUAGGGAAUUUUCGGCAAUGGGGGGAACCCUGACCGAGCAACGCCGCCGUGAAGGAAGAAGGUUUUCGGAUUGUAAACUUCUGUUAUAAGGGAAGAACGGAUUGGAUAGGGAAUGAUCUGAUAGUGACGGUACCUUAUUAGAAAGCCACGGCUAACUACGUGCCAGCCGCUGC
Molecule: ribosomal RNA, 512 nt
Filed under: uncultured bacterium
Lineage: Bacteria
Description: bacterial SSU rRNA
Rfam family: Bacterial small subunit ribosomal RNA
Source: RNAcentral